UUAAUCAUUUUGAAAGAUAUUUGUGAGAGAGGAGGAGGCCUCCUUGCUCCUAAGCUAUUUUUAAUAAUGGAGCUUCCGAAUCGACAAUCGGCUAUAUUAGACUUUAUCUAGCGUAUUUGAAGUAUUUAAAAAAUAAUUUUUACGAUUUUUCAUAUUAUUUAUCUAGCGAUUGAAAGGGUUCAAAAUCAACGGCUAAAAUAAAAAUCUCAAAAGAAGUGAUGAUAUAGCACUAAAAUUUUCUAUCAAAGGUAUUGAUCUUGCAGUAAAUAGUAUAAAAUAUUUUCAUACAAAAUUUUAUUUAAUUUGAAUAUUUUUAUACUGUUAAACUUGCAAACGGUAUACAUCAACCAUUAAAAAUUGUUGAUUUUAGUGAGCUUUUGGAUUGGGGACGGAAACAUGGUGAGUUUUUGGAUGGACAGAUGGAGCGAACAGUG
This 434-nucleotide long non-coding RNA is filed under the name Ananas comosus (pineapple). RNAcentral's name for it is "long non-coding RNA (ACOM_LNC040734)". The record is from RNAcentral. Lineage: Eukaryota; Viridiplantae; Streptophyta; Magnoliopsida; Poales; Bromeliaceae.